AAUGGUUUUAAAAAUGAAAAUGUUUUAAAGAUUUUCAUCCCUAAAAGUGUUUUAAGUGUUUGUUUUGGGCAAAAUGAACUUUGGCAGCUGAAAAAUAGACUUUCGACAGCUGAAAUCCUUUUUAUGGUUCAAAUGCCCAUUUGAACAAAACAGACUCUGGCAGCCGAAAGCAUGGCUUCCGACAGCCAAAAGUAUCUCGACUAUCAAAGGUAUAAAAUGGACCAAGGCCCUUGUUUCUGCCCAAAAUAAUUAGGUUUUUCUCUUCUUCUUCUUCUCUCACUCAAUUGUUGGAGCAUACAAGAAACUCUUUGAAAAGAUUUCUUUGGGUUUUUCAAGAUCUGGAGGUAGAUUAUUUUAUUUAGAAGUUUAGAAAAGUAUAUUUAAGUUUUAGAGCUUUGAUUUUCUCACCUCCAAGCUCUAAGAAAAGAGAAAAUUCCAUGGAGAGAUCUUGACGAUGCCCCUUCAGGGGAGAUUUCUAUGAUGCCCCAGGUGUAUGACACAUGUCAUAUUGUAAGCAAAAAUUCUGAGGAGCCUCUAUAUGAGCCGUGCACAUUAUAUUUGAAUAGUUGUUGAUGACAAGUCCAUCCUACGUGAAAUGUUUAUGACGUGAAAACCCAUGUGAAUGAUGCAUUGCAUAUGUAUGAAAUGAAUGACAUAAUUAAUAUUUGUUAGUUUA
This is a long non-coding RNA of Hevea brasiliensis (rubber tree), 676 nucleotides long. RefSeq lists it as uncharacterized. Lineage: Eukaryota; Viridiplantae; Streptophyta; Magnoliopsida; Malpighiales; Euphorbiaceae. The transcript is spliced from 2 exons. The record is from RefSeq and is a predicted model, not a curated record.